UACGGAGGGUGCAAGCGUUGUCCGGAUUUAUUGGGUUUAAAGGGUGCGUAGGCGGCUUAUUAAGUCAGUGGUGAAAUCCUGCAGCUUAACUGUAGAAUUGCCAUUGAUACUGAUGAGCUUGAAUUCAGGCGAGGUAGGCGGAAUUGACGGUGUAGCGGUGAAAUGCAUAGAUAUCGUCAAGAACACCGAUUGCGAAGGCAGCUUACUAGACUGACAUUGACGCUGAGGCACGAAAGCGUGGGGAUCAAACAGG
RNAcentral lists this ribosomal RNA (253 nucleotides) under uncultured bacterium. RNAcentral describes it as "partial 16S ribosomal RNA". It matches the Rfam family "Bacterial small subunit ribosomal RNA", at positions 524 to 776 of the family's 1533-position model. The record is from RNAcentral.